UACGAAGGGGGCUAGCGUUGCUCGGAAUCACUGGGCGUAAAGAGCUUGUAGGCGGUCUGUCGCGUCUGCUGUGAAAAUCCGGGGCUCAACCCCGGACUUGCAGUGGGUACGGGCAGACUAGAGUGUGGUAGGGGAGACUGGAAUUCCUGGUGUAGCGGUGAAAUGCGCAGAUAUCAGGAGGAACACCGAUGGCGAAGGCAGCUCGCUGGGACGGUACUGACGCUGAGACGCGAAAGUGUGGGGAGCAAACAGG
This 253-nucleotide ribosomal RNA is filed under the name uncultured bacterium. Its description in RNAcentral is "partial 16S ribosomal RNA". It matches the Rfam family "Bacterial small subunit ribosomal RNA", at positions 524 to 776 of the family's 1533-position model. The record is from RNAcentral.